Non-coding RNA from Pelobates cultripes (western spadefoot toad), 209 nucleotides. NCBI's taxonomy places the organism in Eukaryota, Metazoa, Chordata, Amphibia, Anura, Pelobatidae. The record is from the annotation of a GenBank genome assembly.
CCCCUUCAUAACCGAUGAUGGUUCAGGACCGUCAUCGGAAAAAUCCCCUUGAGGAUCGGUGAUGGUCCUGAACCGUCAUAACGGAAAUCUUUACUCACCCGGUCACCAUCGUUCCCUCGGCGGUUAUCUGCGUUGCUCUCGGUGUGGGGAGACUGCCUGCAUCCCAGGCAGUCUCCCCACGGUGAAUUAGGACCCCGCGGCCACGGGAU